UAGGGAAUCUUCCGCAAUGGGCGAAAGCCUGACGGAGCAACGCCGCGUGAGUGAUGAAGGUCUUCGGAUCGUAAAACUCUGUUAUUAGGGAAGAACAAAUGUGUAAGUAACUAUGCACGUCUUGACGGUACCUAAUCAGAAAGCCACGGCUAACUACGUGCCAGCAGCCGCGGUAAUACGUAGGUGGCAAGCGUUAUCCGGAAUUAUUGGGCGUAAAGCGCGCGUAGGCGGUUUUUUAAGUCUGAUGUGAAAGCCCACGGCUCAACCGUGGAGGGUCAUUGGAAACUGGAAAACUUGAGUGCAGAAGAGGAAAGUGGAAUUCCAUGUGUAGCGGUGAAAUGUGCAGAGAUAUGGAGGAACACCAGUGGCGAAGGCGACUUUCUGGUCUGUAACUGACGCUGAUGUGCGAAAGCGUGGGGAUCAAACAGG
This 429-nucleotide ribosomal RNA is filed under the name Actinomycetes bacterium. Its description in RNAcentral is "Actinobacteria bacterium partial 16S ribosomal RNA". It matches the Rfam family "Bacterial small subunit ribosomal RNA", at positions 355 to 776 of the family's 1533-position model. RNAcentral also lists the same sequence under 1 other name. Lineage: Bacteria; Bacillati; Actinomycetota; Actinomycetes. The record is from RNAcentral.